ACUAAUACAUGGAUACUGAAACCAUGAACAAUGAUUGAGGAUAAGAUAACAAACGAAAUGAUCGGCCAAAUUAUUUCAUUAAGUGUUGAAAAUACUGUAGUUGAUUCAUAAAUACUCUUUUCAAUUUCAUCCGGGGACAACAGUAAUUUUGCAAGAAAUGCCAUAUAAACUGCGCAAACCCCUAUUGGUCCGAAAUGUCCAACGAAAAGGGCUUCUUUCCAUGUCUUAAUGUCCGGAACUAAAGGCUUCACCGAAAAUACAACCGGUAAUCGACGACAAACUAGAGUCAAUAUGCUAAAGACAAUUAAACGCCAAACAGGCAAGCCUUCAACAGACCAAUUAAAAUUAUUCCAGGGAAUGAUUGUACCAUAAUAGGUAAAAAAUAGUAAACUAAAAGUCUGAUCAAUAAAAGCAGGUACAGAACAAGCAGAUAUAUUUUUGGAAAAUAAAUCAUUCCAGUUAAAUAAUAUUCCAGCAAAAAAGGACAUCAACAGGUCAUCAACUCCAAUAAUAGUUCCUAUCCCAGAACAUAAUAAAGGUAUCGCUAGCGGAAGGGAAUAAUAACUAAUAGCAUCAAUUAAACGGUAUUUCUGAGCGUGCUUUAAAAUGAACGAUAAAAGAUACCCUAUUACACACCCAAAAAAUAUACCAAAUGCACAUUCAUACAACACAACAAGCAGCACCCAAUCCCUCCCUGCAUUCCUCGAUGGCUUAACAGUAAGAAGUUUGAUAGCAAAAUAGAAAAAAGGAACCGCCAUUCCAUCAUUACAUCCAGACUCAGCGAUCAAUAAAGACCGAAUCCGUUCAGGAGUCUUUUUAGCUAAUGGACCUUCUCCUACAAUCAAUGCUGAUAGAACAGGAUCAGUAGAAGUUAUACAUCCUGCGAUCAGCAAAGAUCCUAAAAAGUUAAUUUGUGGAAACAAUGCAUAUGCAAAUCCAGCUGUAACUAACCACCCGUAAGCCAUAACUGGUAAUAGCAUUACAAUGAUGCUUCGAAAAUUAUGUUGAAAAUAUGCACCGGGGAGUUCUAUUGCAGAAGCAAACACACGCACAUCAAGUACGAUUCUACAAAUCUCUACUGUCAAGUAAUCUCCAUGGUCACCCCAGGAAAAAGGGUCUACGAGUUUAGCAGCAUGAGGCCCAAAUAUUAAUCCAGUGAUACUUCCAAGAACUACACACUAGUAUUAGUCUUAUUUUAUAUCAAUUGCUAAUUUUCAAAAACCACCCUAUACAAUAUCUUCAACGUACCAGCUUCUCCAACUAGUAAUUUUUUUCGAAAAACUUCUG
Molecule: non-coding RNA, 1287 nt
Organism: Schizosaccharomyces pombe (fission yeast)
Lineage: Eukaryota; Fungi; Ascomycota; Schizosaccharomycetes; Schizosaccharomycetales; Schizosaccharomycetaceae
Source: the annotation of a GenBank genome assembly